CCUACGGGAGGCAGCAGUGGGGAAUAUUGGACAAUGGGCGCAAGCCUGAUCCAGCAAUGCCGCGUGUGUGAAGAAGGCCUGAGGGUUGUAAAGCACUUUCAAUUGUGAAGAAGAGUAUAAGAUUAAUACUCUUGUACUUUGACGUUAACUUUAGAAGAAGCACCGGCUAACUCUGUGCCAGCAGCCGCGGUAAU
RNAcentral lists this ribosomal RNA (194 nucleotides) under bacterium symbiont of Siboglinidae sp. RNAcentral's name for it is "partial 16S ribosomal RNA". It matches the Rfam family "Bacterial small subunit ribosomal RNA", at positions 338 to 524 of the family's 1533-position model. The record is from RNAcentral.